GGGCGGAAGCCUGAUGCAGCAACGCCGCGUGAGGGAUGACGGCCUUCGGGUUGUAAACCUCUUUUAGCAGGGAAGAAGCGUAAGUGACGGUACCUGCAGAAAAAGCGCCGGCUAACUACGUGCCAGCAGCCGCGGUAAUACGUAGGGCGCAAGCGUUAUCCGGAAUUAUUGGGCGUAAAGAGCUCGUAGGCGGUUUGUCGCGUCUGCUGUGAAAUCCCGAGGCUCAACCUCGGGCCUGCAGUGGGUACGGGCAGACUAGAGUGCGGUAGGGGAGAUUGGAAUUCCUGGUGUAGCGGUGGAAUGCGCAGAUAUCAGGAGGAACACCGAUGGCGAAGGCAGAUCUCUGGGCCGUAACUGACGCUGAGGAGCGAAAGGGUGGGGAGCAAACAGGCUUAGAUACCCUGGUAGUCCACCCCGUAAACGUUGGGAACUAGUUGUGGGGACCAUUCCACGGUUUCCGUGACGCAGCUAACGCAUUAAGUUCCCCGCCUGGGGAGUACGGCCGCAAGGCUAAAACUCAAAGGAAUUGACGGGGACCCGCACAAGCGGCGGAGCAUGCGGAUUAAUUCGAUGCAACGCGAAGAACCUUACCAAGGCUUGACAUAUACGAGAACGGGCCAGAAAUGGUCAACUCUUUGGACACUCGUAAACAGGUGGUGCAUGGUUGUCGUCAGCUCGUGUCGUGAGAUGUUGGGUUAAGUCCCGCAACGAGCGCAACCCUCGUUCUAUGUUGCCAGC
RNAcentral lists this ribosomal RNA (738 nucleotides) under Microbacterium sp. RNAcentral's name for it is "bacterial SSU rRNA". It matches the Rfam family "Bacterial small subunit ribosomal RNA", at positions 373 to 1122 of the family's 1533-position model. Lineage: Bacteria; Bacillati; Actinomycetota; Actinomycetes; Micrococcales; Microbacteriaceae. The record is from RNAcentral.